RNAcentral lists this ribosomal RNA (554 nucleotides) under Bacillus sp. MBCC40093. RNAcentral describes it as "bacterial SSU rRNA". It matches the Rfam family "Bacterial small subunit ribosomal RNA", at positions 59 to 592 of the family's 1533-position model. Lineage: Bacteria; Bacillati; Bacillota; Bacilli; Caryophanales; Bacillaceae. The record is from RNAcentral.
AAGUCGAUGCGAAUGGAUUAAGAGCUUGCUCUUAUGAAGUUAGCGGCGGACGGGUGAGUAACACGUGGGUAACCUGCCCAUAAGACUGGGAUAACUCCGGGAAACCGGGGCUAAUACCGGAUAACAUUUUGAACCGCAUGGUUCGAAAUUGAAAGGCGGCUUCGGCUGUCACUUAUGGAUGGACCCGCGUCGCAUUAGCUAGUUGGUGAGGUAACGGCUCACCAAGGCAACGAUGCGUAGCCGACCUGAGAGGGUGAUCGGCCACACUGGGACUGAGACACGGCCCAGACUCCUACGGGAGGCAGCAGUAGGGAAUCUUCCGCAAUGGACGAAAGUCUGACGGAGCAACGCCGCGUGAGUGAUGAAGGCUUUCGGGUCGUAAAACUCUGUUGUUAGGGAAGAACAAGUGCUAGUUGAAUAAGCUGGCACCUUGACGGUACCUAACCAGAAAGCCACGGCUAACUACGUGCCAGCAGCCGCGGUAAUACGUAGGUGGCAAGCGUUAUCCGGAAUUAUUGGGCGUAAAGCGCGCGCAGGUGGUUUCUUAAGUCUGA